Molecule: long non-coding RNA, 1059 nt
Organism: Passer domesticus (house sparrow)
Lineage: Eukaryota; Metazoa; Chordata; Aves; Passeriformes; Passeridae
Exons: 2
Source: RefSeq, a predicted model, not a curated record
GCCCCGAGGGGAUGCCUGAGGAUGAAUUCUCUGCUACAGCCUCUGGACUUGCUUUCUGCAGGAACUGGGACCCCAGCUGCUCACCAGGACUGCUGGUUGAGGCUUCAGUCACCACUGUAACACAGAGCACAAAGGCUGUGUCUGCUCCAGGUGACAACACCGCGCUGUGCAGGUACUCAGUGUCUCUGAACACACAGACAAGCAGGAGGAAAAGUUCGUGCAGCAGAAUCCAGAAUGGAAAACAAAGCCUGUUCAGCAAGAAGGGUGAUUGUGUCCGUGAAACAGCAGCUCACGAGCUCUAAGUGAUGUCCAGGUGUUCCAAAGACCGAUUACUUGUUGGUAGAGUGACCUUGCAAAUGGCGCUGACAUUUCAAGAGUCAGAAAUAGUUAACAAUUUGUCCAGAGUGUAACACGGAGUGAGAAGGGGGUUAUGAAACAGGGUGCUGCCUUUUUGUUGCAGAAUGUGGAAUAAAUUAAAAUUAAGGAAGGGUUUUUCUUUGGUGCUUGAUCUUUGUAUGCUUUCAAGCCACAUCAACAAGCAGGGAGAUUUAAUCCCUGGAACAAAUAGCACCUAACAAGCUCUAAGUGAUGUCUAAAUGUUGGAAGGACAAAUUGCUUGGAAUCGCCUUGCUAAGAUUUAGGGCUGGACGUGUUUUAAUGACCUCAGACCUCAGGGAGGCUGAGGAAGCUUGUAAAGAAGGAUGCACCACUGAUGGUGGACACAAGGCUGAAUUUAUCGACACAAGGACAUUUGGCAGAACCCACAAGAUAAGGAAGAAUGUGAUAAAGCCAACUCAGCAGCUGGGCUGAAAUCAGCUCUGAUUGGGUAGAAGGUAAUUCCAGCAGGGGCAGGUCGCAACCACUGACCCAUGGCCCAAGAAACCACUGACCCAAAAGAGGAGAAGGACUGAGCCUGGGACUAAUUAGCAUGAGAAGCGAGAGACUCAUUAACCAAUAGAAGAUAGAAUACUAAUUAAUACGAGAACUAGGUGACAUGUAGCCAGUGAACACGGAUGCCUUUGUUUGCUAAAAUGUAAACUAAAUAAAUCAAAUACCUUG